GCGCAGCAGGCGAGAAUAGUCUACAAUGGACGAAAGUCUGAUAGUGCGACGCCGUGUGUGCGAUUAAUUCCUUCGGGAUGUAAAGCACUUUUUCUAUGAGAUAAAAGCUCUUUUAGGUUAAUAGCUUAUUGAGACGGGAUAUUAUUAUAGGAAUAAGCUCCGGCUAACUCCGUGCCAGCAGCCGCGGUAAUACGGAAGGAGCGAGCGUUGUCCGGAUUUACUAGGCGUAAAGGGCUAGUAGGCGACUAAUUAAGUUAUAUGUUAAAUCCCACGGCUCAACUGUGGUCCUGCAUGUAAUACUGGUUAGAUAGAGUACUGUAGAGGAAGGCAGAAUUCCUGGAGUAGCGGUGGAAUGCGCAGAUAUCAGGAAGAAUACCAAAAGCGAAGGCAGCCUUCUGGGCAGUUACUGACGCUGAAUAGCGAAGGUGUGGGUAGCGAACA
RNAcentral lists this ribosomal RNA (441 nucleotides) under uncultured microorganism. RNAcentral describes it as "bacterial SSU rRNA". It matches the Rfam family "Bacterial small subunit ribosomal RNA", at positions 346 to 774 of the family's 1533-position model. The record is from RNAcentral.